AGCUUUCAAGUGUUUAUUUUCUUAAACGUUUGGACUUGGGUGUGCUUGCCGGUUGUAUGUCGGCUCACCCUAAAUGCAUUAGCUGGCUUUGGUUGGGUCUGUGAGCUCGGUGUGAUAAUUGUCACUCGCUGGGGUCUUGUGAUCCGUGAGGAAGCUGCUUCCAGUUGUUGUCUUUGGAGACAUUGUGUCUAAGU
RNAcentral lists this unclassified non-coding RNA (194 nucleotides) under uncultured Agaricomycetes. RNAcentral describes it as "sequence contains ITS2". The record is from RNAcentral. Lineage: Eukaryota; Fungi; Basidiomycota; Agaricomycetes.